Molecule: long non-coding RNA, 1714 nt
Organism: Drosophila miranda
Lineage: Eukaryota; Metazoa; Arthropoda; Insecta; Diptera; Drosophilidae
Exons: 3
Source: RefSeq, a predicted model, not a curated record
AAAGAGAGCAGGUUGGAGAGCGGUUAUAGCGAGAGCUACUAAACAGAGAGCGCUAUUGCUCAGAAAGAUUAAAGAGCGAUUGAGAAAGAACAGUUGUUUGAGUUUGGAUAAUAGGGAGAGAGUGAUAGAUACAGCAAAGACUACAGGAUAAGAGCGGGCCAAACUCAGCGUGAGCAUACUGACAGAAAGUAACACACAAACAACAGCACAAACGCACAGAAUUUAUAUCAAAAAUUAAGUUUAUAUGAAAACAAUAGGCAUGCACUCGCGUUAAAGAACAGAUUUUUUACUGUAGGUUAAGUGGGGAUUUUAUCAAGGUUUAUUUUGAAACCUAUGAAACACCGGCUGUAUUUGCAAAAUAAAUGGAAAAGAAGCGGAGCGCAAAACAAAAACACGUCUGGUCACUACGAAAGAGAACGAACGAAAUGGAUAGUUCUGAUCCUUCAAAAUAUUUAAAGAUUUUAUCAUACCAUUCCAAGGAUAGUUUUGUAAUUAUGUUGUAUUGUAACUUAUGAAAUUUUAAAUUUAUUUUUUUUUUUUGGAAAGCUUCGACGACAAUUUUGAUAACUUUGAAAUUAAAGGAUCAGAUGUAAAUAGAAGAGCAUGAAUUCUAUCGUAUUUUUUGUGAAAACUUUCGGCUGUGAGAAUUUUAGUUUUACGUUUCUCAAUAAAUAGCUUGGAAAAAUAUUUGCGUUUUAAAGUUUAGUUUUCGUUUUCACUAGCUUGUAUGCAUUUUUCGUGAAGCGCCCAUCUACAUUAAUCGCCAAAGCUUCCUCAGAACUGAAUUUAAUAGGUAGCUUGGGAUCACUGUCGAAAGCUGGAAAGUAAAUAUAAAAUGGAAGAAGAAGAAGCAGCAAAUUCGAGUGUAAAUAAGAGAACAGCAGGCGGCAGGCUGAAAUGUAGUGCCACUUUAGAGAACCUGCUAAUAGACAUUUGGAGCGGGGGCUGAGUGGCAGCACCACGAAAAGCUGAACUGGUUUCUGGGAUGCUACCGGAUUAACAACAUGGAACAGAGCACAUUGGACAACCACAGUGGAUCUGGACGGAUCAUGUAGCAACAAUGGGCUUUUCUGGCAACAAUGGGCCCCCGCCAAAGCGAACCAAAGAAUACGACACUUCUUGGAUGGCAGAGAUCGCCAGAGAGCGACUUGAAGAGAAAGAAAGACCAUCAUAGGAAAAAGGAAGAGCAUGAUAUGAGGCAGGAAAAGAUGGUCGAGGAACUCAUCAACACGCAAAAGAAAUUCCAGAAUGAUUUAUUGGAAGUGCUGAAAUAUAAAAAUAAAUAAGUUUCUUAUUUGCAUUUCUACACAAUAUUUUGCGAUUGCAGAUCGUAUCUGUUCGGCUGACUGAUUAAAGUCAUAUGUUCACAUAUUUUGCUGUUGAACCACAGCCGAAAUAAUUGCUAAAUCUUCAUCAUCCUUAUAAUGGAUACAAUGGAUAUAAUGAAACAAAAAUUGUAAAUCUUCCGCGCAAAUUUGAUGUACUUGUUAAGGGCAUCAGCUGUUUUUGACGGAUGGUAGAUGGUAGAUGGCACCAGUGUGAAUCGGAGUUUCACAUCUGCUAAAAAAUCACACCAUUCCCACCAGUGUGCAGAGCCUAUUAGCUUUGUUCAAUUUGGGUUUUAAUAAACAAUCUGCCAACCACUGCUUGUUAUACUUUUCGAAAUGUGACAAUGUUCCAUUACAUUUUUUCCAUUUUUGCAGCAACGUGCUUA